Ricinus communis (castor bean) is the source of this 137-nucleotide non-coding RNA. The record is from Rfam. Lineage: Eukaryota; Viridiplantae; Streptophyta; Magnoliopsida; Malpighiales; Euphorbiaceae.
GUUCUCAAAGCAGUUUAACUGCUUUGGGGCAAUCUGGGCAUGUAAAUUAGGCAGCGGCCAGACAACCGUAGUGAUGGUAUCCACAGAUGGUGGUUGCUUUUGAUCCCACUUCAUCUACUAAAUCCCAUCUCACAUUG